GAGGAUAUAGCUCAGUGGCAGAGCCCAUGCCUAGCAUGCACGAGGUCCUGGGUUCAAUCCUCAGUGCCUUCA
This 72-nucleotide transfer RNA is filed under the name Camelus bactrianus (Bactrian camel). It matches the Rfam family "tRNA". Rfam says of the family: Transfer RNA (tRNA) molecules are approximately 80 nucleotides in length. Their secondary structure includes four short double-helical elements and three loops (D, anti-codon, and T loops). RNAcentral also lists the same sequence under 2 other names. Lineage: Eukaryota; Metazoa; Chordata; Mammalia; Artiodactyla; Camelidae. The record is from Rfam by way of RNAcentral.